UGCGUAGGCGGCGCGGUAAGUCGGGUGUGAAAUCUCGGAGCUUAACUCCGAAACUGCAUUCGAUACUGCCGUGCUUGAGGACUGGAGAGGAGACUGGAAUUUACGGUGUAGCGGUGAAAUGCGUAGAUAUCGUAAGGAAGGCCAGUGGCGAAGGCGGGUCUCUGGACAGUUCCUGACGCUGAGGCACGAAGGGUCAGGGGAGGCAAACG
This 209-nucleotide ribosomal RNA is filed under the name uncultured bacterium. RNAcentral's name for it is "partial 16S ribosomal RNA". It matches the Rfam family "Bacterial small subunit ribosomal RNA", at positions 568 to 774 of the family's 1533-position model. The record is from RNAcentral.